Molecule: ribosomal RNA, 489 nt
Filed under: uncultured Alphaproteobacteria bacterium
Lineage: Bacteria; Pseudomonadati; Pseudomonadota; Alphaproteobacteria
Description: bacterial SSU rRNA
Rfam family: Bacterial small subunit ribosomal RNA
Source: RNAcentral
GGCGGCAGGCCUAACACAUGCAAGUCGAACGCGAUCUUCGGAUCGAGUGGCGCACGGGUGAGUAACGCGUGGGAAUCUGCCCUGUGGUACGGAAUAACAUCGGGAAACUGGUGCUAAUACCGUAUAUCCCCUGAGGGGGAAAGAUUUAUCGCCAUGGGAGGAGCCCGCGUAGGAUUAGCUAGUUGGUGAGGUAACGGCUCACCAAGGCGACGAUCCUUAGCUGGUCUGAGAGGAUGAUCAGCCACACUGGGACUGAGAUACGGCCCAGACUCCUACGGGAGGCAGCAGUGGGGAAUAUUGGACAAUGGGGGAAACCCUGAUCCAGCCAUGCCGCGUGUGUGAUGAAGGCCUUCGGGUUGUAAAGCACUUUCGCACGUGACGAUGAUGACGGUAACGUGAGAAGAAGCCCCGGCUAACUUCGUGCCAGCAGCCGCGAUAAUACGAAGGGGGCAAGCGUUGUUCGGAAUUACUGGGCGUAAAGGGCGCGUA